GAUGAACGCUGGCGGCGUGCCUAAUACAUGCAAGUCGAGCGAACGGACGAGAAGCUUGCUUCUCUGAUGUUAGCGGCGGACGGGUGAGUAACACGUGGAUAACCUACCUAUAAGACUGGGAUAACUUCGGGAAACCGGAGCUAAUACCGGAUAAUAUUUUGAACCGCAUGGUUCAAAAGUGAAAGACGGUCUUGCUGUCACUUAUAGAUGGAUCCGCGCUGCAUUAGCUAGUUGGUAAGGUAACGGCUUACCAAGGCAACGAUGCAUAGCCGACCUGAGAGGAUGAUCGGCCACACUAGAACUGAGACACGGUCCAGCAUCCUACGGGAGGCAGCAGUAGGGAAUCUUCCGCAAUGGGCGAAAGCCUGACGGAGCAACGCCGCGUGAGUGAUGAAGGACUUCGGAUCGUAAAACUCUGUUAUUGGGGAAGAACAUAUGUGUAAGUAACUGUGCACAUCUUGACGGUACCUAAUCAGAAAGCCACGGCUAACUACGUG
RNAcentral lists this ribosomal RNA (497 nucleotides) under uncultured bacterium. Its description in RNAcentral is "partial 16S ribosomal RNA". It matches the Rfam family "Bacterial small subunit ribosomal RNA", at positions 28 to 507 of the family's 1533-position model. The record is from RNAcentral.